This 403-nucleotide ribosomal RNA is filed under the name uncultured bacterium. Its description in RNAcentral is "bacterial SSU rRNA". It matches the Rfam family "Bacterial small subunit ribosomal RNA", at positions 356 to 773 of the family's 1533-position model. The record is from RNAcentral.
GGGGAAUAUUGGGCAAUGGGCGCAAGCCUGACCCAGCAACGCCGCGUGAGGGAAGAAGGUCUUCGGAUUGUAAACCUCUGUCCUUGGGGACGAAAAAAAUGACGGUACCCAAGGAGGAAGCUCCGGCUAACUACGUGCCAGCAGCCGCGGUAAUACGUAGGGAGCGAGCGUUGUCCGGAAUUACUGGGCGUAAAGGGUGCGUAGGCGGCUAUGCAAGUCAGAUGUGAAAUCCCCGGGCUUAACUCGGGUGGUGCAUUUGAAACUGCGUAGCUUGAGUGCAGGAGAGGAAAGCGGAAUUCCUAGUGUAGCGGUGAAAUGCGUAGAUAUUAGGAGGAACACCAGUGGCGAAGGCGGCUUCCUGGACUGUAACUGACGCUGAGGCACGAAAGCGUGGGGAGCAAAC